Long non-coding RNA from Pezoporus flaviventris, 791 nucleotides. RefSeq lists it as uncharacterized. The transcript has 3 exons. NCBI's taxonomy places the organism in Eukaryota, Metazoa, Chordata, Aves, Psittaciformes, Psittacidae. The record is from RefSeq and is a predicted model, not a curated record.
AAAAGGCCUAUGGGAUCCACUCCUGAUUUAGAGGAACAGUGGAUCAAAAGCUGAAGGUGACAAUUCCUAAGGGAUUGCCUCCUGUGAAAGUGGAUGCAUUUCACGGUAAGACUCACUCAGGAGGCACAUUUCUCCCUCUUACAUAUGUUUCAUACUUCCACUUUUAUUGGAAGUACUGAGCAGUGCAAAAAUUCAGGUGUGGGACUUGAGCAGACAGUGACAGUUCAGAAGGAAGUCCUGCUAUUCUGUGAUGAUGCAGUUUGUCUAGAGUUUUGGCAGCUACUGCCACCCCAUGGUUUCCCACAAGGGACGAAUGCUGCAGAGCUUUUAAAUGUUGCGUUUCUCCAGAAACCUCUCACAGGUCAGAGAGAAGACAACAAACACUCAUUUUUGUCUUACCCCCUUCUUCCCUAUGUCCCCUUUUCAGUAAAAGCCCCUCCGCAAAUAAAAGCAAGUAUGGCAUGAGCAGCAUUGCUUUGGUUUAGCACGGAUGAGUCCCUUCCACUGGAUUUACAACUGUGUAAUUGAAUAUUAAUUUUGGCUCCCGGGAGUUUUCACUGAUUAUAUCUGCAUUGGCAGGAAGUAUUUUGCAUUCUUCAUUUAUUUAUUUAUUUUUUUUUCCAGGAACUUCAAAACACAUAUCUGGAGAAAGCUUUUGAAACCCAUUUCUUACAGUUGCUGCUGCUUUGGGAGUUUUUGUUUACAUCAUGGAUGCCACAUACAGACAGAUCUGGGUUAAAGCAAGCUGGUCUGAGCGGUGUCCUCUGAGUGUUGCUUCCAGCAGAGCUUUG